CGGAAGUGCGAUAGGGGAAUCCCAAGUGCGAGGGCAUAUUAGCCCUCGCUUUUGUUGACUGUAAGGUGGUCGACGAAUAAGAGCUGGGCAAGACCGGUGCCAGCCGCCGCGGUAAUACCGGCAGCUCAAGUGAUGUCCCAUAUUAUUGGGCCUAAAGCGUCCGUAGCUGGCCGACCAAGUCUCCCGGGAAAUCCACCCGCCCAACGGGUGGGCGUCCGGUAGAAACUGGCCGGCUUGGAACCGGAAGGCUCAGAGAGUACGUCCGGGGUAGGAGUGAAAUCCCGUAAUCCCGGACGGACUACCGAUGGCGAAAGCACUCUGAGAAGACGGCUUCGACAGUGAGGGACGAAAGCUCGGGUCUCAAACCGGAUUAGAUACCCGGGUAGUCCGAGCUGUAAACGAUGCUCGUUAGGUGUGGCACCCACUACGAGUGGGUGCUGCGCCGCAGGGAAGCCGCU
This 458-nucleotide ribosomal RNA is filed under the name uncultured archaeon. RNAcentral describes it as "bacterial SSU rRNA". It matches the Rfam family "Archaeal small subunit ribosomal RNA", at positions 360 to 816 of the family's 1478-position model. The record is from RNAcentral.